CGGUAGCAGCUAGCAGGCGGCGGCAGUACCACUGCUCCACUCGCACGCGCGCGCAUGGCCGACCUGGGCGGGAGGUGAUAACUGGGCGGCGCGGAGAUGAGGGAGCUGGUGGGGAGGCCCGGGACGUGGGGCGGGCUCUGGCUGCGGCUCGGCCAAGCCGCGCUCGCCGCCGCCUCCAUCGCCGUCAUGGCCUCCGCCAACGGCUUCGCCGGCUACACCGCCUUCUGCUAUCUGAUUGCAUCGAUGGGAUUACAAGCGCUCUGGAGCUUGGGGCUUGCAUGUCUUGAUGGAUACGCCCUUAAAGUCAAAAGAGAUCUCAACAAUGCUGUUUUAGUGAGCUUAUUUGUAGUCGGAGACUGGGUUACUGCGAUUCUCUCGUUUGCUGCAUCGUGCUCAGCUGCUGGUGUAACAGUUCUUUUUGAGAGGGACAUUUCUUUCUGCAGAAGAUAUUACGAACUGCCUUGUGGGAGAUUUCAACUCGCGACGGCAUUCGCUUUUCUGUCCUGGGCGCUAAGUGCUACAUCAGCGGUCAUCAUGUUUUGGCUCCUGGCAUCCUUCUGAUUUUGUGUAUAGUCCUCCUGUGUGUAAGUUCUGUUUAUAGUGAGGUUUCCGCUCAUCAUAGGAUUUAUAUAGGAUGAUUUUUCAGAUAUGUAAGCAACAGAAACCACACUGCCAAAACAGAUGGAAAUGUUGGGACACCUAUAAACUCCAUGGAGCGCAUUUCCUAGGUACUACUCCCUCCGUGCUAAAUAUAAGUCUUUUCAGAGAUUUUCCUAGGGACUACAUACGGAUGGAUAUAGGCAUAUUUUAGAGAGUAGAUUCACUCAUUUUGCUCCGUAUGUAUUCCAUAUUGGAUUCUCUAAAAGGACUUAUAUUUAGGAAUGGAUGAAGUAUUACUCGCUGGAAGCUUUCCUCCAGAAAAUGAUGCUAAAUCGAUUUCUCAUUAUAGUGUCUCCAGAUACCCUUCAUGUUCUUCUCUAAGUUUUGGGAUGAUGCGAUGCAAUAUUGGUGACCAAUUAGAAUGUUUUAGCCGAGUCGGGGAUGUGUGUCGCUGCUCUUUAGCUGUGUUGCGAAUGAACACAAAGAAUCUGUGGAGUUUCAGGCAUGCUGAAACCUAUCGGCUCCGUUGUAAAGAAUCAAAGUAUAAGGGGGUUGGUCUGGACAGAGGUGCCAUUUCAAUAGUCCGACUGCUCUGA
RNAcentral lists this ribosomal RNA (1196 nucleotides) under Triticum aestivum (bread wheat). RNAcentral describes it as "partial small subunit ribosomal RNA". Lineage: Eukaryota; Viridiplantae; Streptophyta; Magnoliopsida; Poales; Poaceae. The record is from RNAcentral.